This 533-nucleotide ribosomal RNA is filed under the name Uncinocythere occidentalis. RNAcentral describes it as "SSU rRNA". It matches the Rfam family "Eukaryotic small subunit ribosomal RNA", at positions 625 to 1160 of the family's 1831-position model. The record is from RNAcentral. Lineage: Eukaryota; Metazoa; Arthropoda; Ostracoda; Podocopida; Entocytheridae.
AGCUCGUAGUUGGAUCUCAGUCAUGGUCGGUCGGUCUGUCUUGCGACAGUACUGAUUCGAACCAGACAUCUUGCUGGCUCUCUCGGAAUGCUCUUAACUGAGUGUGUCGGGGGACUGGCGCGUUCACUUUGAAAAAAUUAGAGUGCUCAAAGCAGGCGUUUGCCUGAAUAGUCGUGCAUGGAAUGAUGGAAUAGGGCCUCGGUUCUAUUUUGUUGGUUCUCUGAACCCGAGGUAAUGAUUAAUAGGGACAGACGGGGGCAUUCGUAUUGCGACGUUAGAGGUGAAAUUCUUAGAUCGUCGCAAGACGAACUACUGCGAAAGCAUUUGCCAAGAAUGUUUUCAUUAAUCAAGAACGAAAGCCAGAGGUUCGAAGGCGAUCAGAUACCGCCCUAGUUCUGGCCAUAAACGAUGCCAACUGGCGAUCCGUCGGUCUUUAAAUCCAUUUUUUCCGACGGGCAGCUUCCGGGAAACCAAAGUUUUUAAGUUCCGGGGGAAGUAUGGUUGCAAAGCUGGAACUUAAAAAAUUUGACGGA